AUGAGUUAAGUAUAAACCCCUUUACAAGUAACAAUUGGAGGGCAAGUCUGGUGCCAGCAGCCGCGGUAAUUCCAGCUCCAAUAGCGUAUAUUAAAGUUGUUGCAGUUAAAAAGCUCGUAGUUGGAUUUCUGUUAAUAAUUUAUAUUAAUAUACAUUUUUUUUUGUAUUUAAUAUGAUAUUAACAUAAUUCAUAUUACUAAUUUUAGUAUAUGAAAUUUUACUUUGAGAAAAUUAGAGUGCUUAAAGCAGGCAAUUGCCUUGUAUACUACAGCAUGGAAUAAUAACAAAAGAUUUUUAUCUUUUUUUUUUAUUGGUUCUAAGAUAAAAAUAAUGAUCAAUAGGGACAGUUGGGGGCAUUUGUAUUUAACAGUUAGAGGUGAAAUUCUUAGAUUUGUUAAAGACAAACUAAUGCGAAAGCAUUUGCCAAGGAUGUUUUCAUUAAUCAAGAACGAAAGUUAGGGGAUCGAAGACGAUCAGAUACCGUCGUAGU
RNAcentral lists this ribosomal RNA (490 nucleotides) under Cryptosporidium sp. RNAcentral describes it as "partial small subunit ribosomal RNA". It matches the Rfam family "Eukaryotic small subunit ribosomal RNA", at positions 514 to 1024 of the family's 1831-position model. The record is from RNAcentral. Lineage: Eukaryota; Apicomplexa; Conoidasida; Eucoccidiorida; Cryptosporidiidae.